CAGAUCAAUCAGUCUGCAGGUAUUAGACCAGAUCAAUGAGUCUGCAGGUAUUAGACCAGAUCAAUCAGUCUGCAGGUAUUAGACCAGAUCAAUGAGUCUGCAGGUAUUAGACCAGAUCAAUGAGUCUGCAGGUAUUAGACCAGAUCAAUCAGUCUGCAGGUAUUAGAUCAGAUCAAUCAGAGAGUUCAAAGGUCAGUGAAGGUCUCUCUGUGUGUUUCUGUUACAGUCGAACUACA
Dicentrarchus labrax (European seabass) is the source of this 236-nucleotide long non-coding RNA. RefSeq lists it as uncharacterized. NCBI's taxonomy places the organism in Eukaryota, Metazoa, Chordata, Actinopteri, Moronidae. The transcript has 3 exons. The record is from RefSeq and is a predicted model, not a curated record.